Molecule: long non-coding RNA, 1353 nt
Filed under: Marmota monax (woodchuck)
Lineage: Eukaryota; Metazoa; Chordata; Mammalia; Rodentia; Sciuridae
Source: RNAcentral
UAAUUAUUUCCUUAGGUACUCUUGUCACUGAUUAAUUUGCCUAUGUUCAAUUCCUGACAUAUUAAACAAUGGACAGGCUAGAGGAGGCAGCUGCCCCAAGGCAACACUUCUCUGGAUUAUUGGGGAAGACAAGGGUCAGGUGAGUCUUAACACAGAGUUUUGCUCAAGAUCUAAUCUCCAUGAUUGGCUUCAAUAGUACUAUUUGGAUUGUAAAAACUUUUCAGAUUCUGUGUUUGUGAGCUACUUUUUCCCCCUCUGAUAGCCACCACUUAUUUUCUGGGAAACGAAAAAUUUGAAAGUUAGUGAUAACUUUAAUGUAAAAUCUGAAGCACCUAUGCAGGAUAUUUUAACUUACUUUAUUGGUCACUAGUCAAUACCAGAGAUAUUUUUAAAUUAAUAUUUUACUUAUAGAGCAAGAGAAAUAAAUUCUUAGUGUGUGGGUUUGCAUGUACUGUCAAAAAUAUCUCAGCUAAGAUUCCAGAUAGUCAUUAUCAAUUAUACCAUUGCCUUAAAUUGAGUGCAGUUCUCUAAAUUGGUACCAAUAACCACACCCUUCAAAAGGAAAAUCACACAAAUAAUAAAAGAACCCCCAAACCCUAGCAUGUAUGUGUUUAUAUGUAUAUACACGUAUAUAUAUAUACAUAUAUUUAUGUGUCUCCAUAUACAUAUAUGUAUAUAUAAUCAUAUAUAAACAUAAUAUAUAUAUAUAUAUAUAUAUAUAUAUAUAUAUAUAUAUAUAUAUAUAUAUAUAUAUAUAUAUAUAAACAUUGGGAAUGGAGAGGGAUGCAGAAUAGAAAUUCUCCAUCAAGCAUUGACAUGAUCUUAGGUCACAAUAAACAAUUUUAUUUCACUUAAAAACAGAACACUACUUCAGUGUUGGUUUGCAGAAUAAUGAGGCCCUCACUGCAUUCUAUUUUCUAUCUUCAGCAAGCAUUUUCCCACUCCACCCCAUGGCAACCUGCAGAGCAUCAGCAAGCUUGGCUGGUUUGGACCCUCUUUCCCAAGGCCUGCAGGUGACUCCAGCUGUUCCUCUUGCCAUGUGGAACUGAAGAAACUGAACUAAGUCUGGACCAAGAAAAACCAAAAAAACAAACAAAAAAAAAACCUGUCCUAUUCACUACUGAGUCAAAAUACAGCUUGAGACACGAGAUGCCAGAAGCAAAUAUUUUGAAAUAUCUGAAAGCAAAGGUUAAACAUGUUGAUAAUAACACACAAUUUGGGCUUUGCUUCCCAAUUCCAUUUUCUGAUUUAAAGAUUGUCUUGUUCUCUGUGCAAAUAUUUGUUGACUUGGAAACUGAUAGAGUUGAAAUCAACAGAGAUGAAAUAAACCUUUGUCUGUGACCUUACUCUUUG